RNAcentral lists this long non-coding RNA (1111 nucleotides) under Monodelphis domestica (gray short-tailed opossum). RNAcentral's name for it is "lncRNA (ENSMODG00000040886.1)". Lineage: Eukaryota; Metazoa; Chordata; Mammalia; Didelphimorphia; Didelphidae. The record is from RNAcentral.
AACUUAAUGGCUGUGAUGCACAAUUGAUACUUUGUCUGGAUUUUAGUGAUCUCUUCUUACAUUUGGCUUCCUAAAUCAACUUCAUAUCUUCAACAGUCAAAGUUGUGCAUUAAACUUCUUUGUAUCUUUGAUCAAUAGUGGUGCUGAAUUGUUUUUUGAGGGGGUUGGGGGUUGUUAAUUCAUUCUUAUUAGACAUGGAUAUCUUUUUACACAUUUGAUUUUAUUUAUAAUCUAAUCAAAAGGCUCAUAUAUAUUAAGUUUAUUUGGCAACAUCAUAAUCUUUUAAAAAAGAAACAGAAAUUAGGCAUAGUUGUGUUCAUAAAGUGUUUUGUGGAGACUCAAAGAAGUCUUAGAUUUCACUUUGUCCAACCCAGGUACAAAAAGAAUCCCCACAAUAGUAUACCAAAUAAUUGAUUGUUCAAGGUUGAAUGGGACUUGCUUCUUAAAAGAUAGAGUUCUGUUGUUCUUCCUUAAGUGUUUCUUUUUAUUAUUAUAAAAGAUCACAUACCCCUAUUUCCUUUCAUUGAUAAAAGGUAUACAAUUCAAGGAAGAAGACUUGGAUGAUCAAGUUAUUGUUUUAGUUCAAUGACAUUCUGCAAAGAACUGAGAGCUUAAUGUUUCACCAAGGAGUCAAAGUCUUCCUUGGAGCAGAAUGGGGUUGUGAGAAGAGAUAUGAAGAAGAAUUAUAGAGAUGUCUAUGGUUGAACUGACAAGUGUUGGACAUUAGAGACAAGGGAGAUGGAAAAUUGAUAUGACCUACUAUCAACACUUUACUGUAUUAAGCAAUUGAAGAGAUUUUUAAAAAAGGAAAUAAGACACAUUCCUUGAUGCUGUGGAGCUCGUAAAUAAAUAUAAUGCAAACCAAUGCAUGAUAUGCGUAUGAAGACAGUUCUUCAGGAACAAGGAUCAUCAGGGAGAGGAGGAAAGGAAUCAGAAAAAGCAUCAUGAGACAGGAAUAUAGUCAAGUCAUAUUUAAGAACCUAUUAUGUGCCAGGAACUGUGCUAAAUUCCACGAAGCAGCUCCUUAUAGACUGACUUAUUGGAAAACAACUAUUCAAAGGCAUUAUCUCUUGUAUUUUUUUUCAAACUUAAAUUCCCUUUUUCUACUAAA